RNAcentral lists this ribosomal RNA (338 nucleotides) under Sesamia typhae. RNAcentral's name for it is "partial 12S ribosomal RNA". The record is from RNAcentral. Lineage: Eukaryota; Metazoa; Arthropoda; Insecta; Lepidoptera; Noctuidae.
AAAAUACUAAAAUAGUAAUUAAAUAUUUAUUGAAACUUAAAUAAUUUGGCGGUAUUUUAGUUCAUUUAGAGGAAUCUGUUUAAUAAUUGAUAUUCCACGAAUAAAUUUACUUAUUUUAUAAUUUUGUAUAUCGUUGUUAUAAAAAUAUUUUUUAAUGAAAUUAAUGUUUAAAAAUUAAUAUGAAAAAUUAAAUCAAAUCAAGAUGCAGAUUAUAAUUAAGAAUAUAAUGGAUUACAAUAAAUUUAUUUAAAUGAAUUUUAUUUUGUAAUAUUUAAUUGAAGGUGGAUUUAAAUGUAAUUUUAUUUAAUUUAAUAAAAUGAUUAAAAAUUAAAAUAUGU